RNAcentral lists this ribosomal RNA (550 nucleotides) under uncultured bacterium. Its description in RNAcentral is "partial 16S ribosomal RNA". It matches the Rfam family "Bacterial small subunit ribosomal RNA", at positions 355 to 895 of the family's 1533-position model. The record is from RNAcentral.
UGGGGAAUAUUGCACAAUGGGCGCAAGCCUGAUGCAGCCAUGCCGCGUGUGUGAAGAAGGCCUUCGGGUUGUAAAGCACUUUCAGCGAGGAGGAAGGUGGUGAGCUUAAUACGCUCAUCAAUUGACGUUACUCGCAGAAGAAGCACCGGCUAACUCCGUGCCAGCAGCCGCGGUAAUACGGAGGGUGCAAGCGUUAAUCGGAAUUACUGGGCGUAAAGCGCACGCAGGCGGUUUGUUAAGUCAGAUGUGAAAUCCCCGGGCUCAACCUGGGAACUGCAUUUGAAACUGGCAAGCUAGAGUCUCGUAGAGGGGGGUAGAAUUCCAGGUGUAGCGGUGAAAUGCGUAGAGAUCUGGAGGAAUACCGGUGGCGAAGGCGGCCCCCCUGGACGAAGACUGACGCUCAGGUGCGAAAGCGUGGGGAGCAAAACAGGAUUAGAUACCCUGGUAGUCACGCUGUAAACGAUGUCGAUUUUGGAGGUUGUGCCCUUGAGGCGUGGCUUCCGGAGCUAACGCGUUAAAUCGACCGCCUGGGGAGUACGGCCGCAAGGUU